RNAcentral lists this ribosomal RNA (519 nucleotides) under uncultured bacterium. Its description in RNAcentral is "bacterial SSU rRNA". It matches the Rfam family "Bacterial small subunit ribosomal RNA", at positions 7 to 518 of the family's 1533-position model. The record is from RNAcentral.
GAGAGUUGAUCCUGGCUCAGGAUGAACGCUAGCGGCAGGCUUAACACAUGCAAGUCGAGGGGCGAGCGUGGAGUAGCAAUACUCUGACGGCGACCGGCGAAAGGGUGAGUAACGCGUGAGCAACAUGCCCGAUACUGGAGGAUAGUCGAUGGAAACGUCGCGUAACACUCCGUAACAUAGGGGACCGCAUGAUUCUCUAUUAAUAGAUUUAUCGGUAUCGGAUUGGCUCGCGUACCAUUAGCUAGUUGGCGGGGUAACGGCCCACCAAGGCGACGAUGGUUAGGGGUUCUGAGAGGAAGGUCCCCCACAUUGGAACUGAGACACGGUCCAGACUCCUACGGGAGGCAGCAGUGAGGAAUAUUGGACAAUGGCCGAGAGGCUGAUCCAGCCAUGCCGCGUGGCGGGAGGACGGCCCUAUGGGUUGUAAACCGUCUUUUGUUGGGGAGCAAUAAGGGUCACGUGUGACCUGAUGAGAGUACCCAGCGAAUAAGCAUCGGCUAACUCCGUGCCAGCCGCCGC